CUGCUCCCUGAAUGUUGGUGACGCUUAAUGACUUGCACAGAGUGUGAGGGAGGGAUAAGUGGUAGUUCUGUUGGUGAUCAGGGAUAACCUCAUCGGUGAUGUCCUGUCAGUAACACACGCCUUCGCGAUGAUGAGAUGAGAAUCGACUUCACGUCUGUGAACCUGUGAGCCUGUCUUAUCCUCCAGACCUGCAACCGCCACCUCACACCCAAGCCAUAACCACGUGUGGCCGCGGUGGCCAGUGGGCGGCACCCUCGCCUCACCCCGCGGAGCACGCAGGGGAACCGGGCCCAGCAGCUUCCGCUCCGCUCUCCGGCUCGCACCCAAGGUCGUGGGGUUCAUCAUCGCCAUUAGACCCUGCUCCCACGCUCCCCAAUAGCAGGCGAGGACGCGUGGAGGCUCGGGUCAGUCCAAAGCGGAGGUGGCCUCGGAAGGACAGCGCGGAGCACCUCGGAAGCGCCGCCCGGCCCCAGGACGGGUCGGAGGUGCCACUUUCGCCAACGACUACAAGUCCCGGAAGCCUCCGCGGCCUACGCCGGCUACAAGGCAGGUGCGCAGCCGCCCAGCGUCCAGACGUCACUUUCCUGUACUUCUAGGACCGACACCGCCUUUCUAUGAUGUCAUAGACUUCCGGCGGAAGACCUGAGCGCUUGACGGUGUCGCGGGCGGUGUGUCUCCAGGCUGCUGGGCGUUUUCUUUUUCUAACAACGCGACGGUUCAGAGAAGAAGUUUAACGCUGUCACCACAUUUUACUCUCUUAGCAUGCAUUUUGUGACCCUGCAAUAAUCAUCUGCGUUUUGGAUUAGGGGAUGUGAGACUGAAGGAAAGCGCCCUUAGAAAAAGGAUCUCUGGGCCGGGGAUUUAGCCCAGUGGGUCCGCCGCCUGCCUCACAAGUUCAAGGACCCGAGGUCGAUCCCCGGUACAAAAAGAAAGAAAGAGAGGGUCUUCGCUGUGGUUGUGUGGAUUCCUGGCUGUGGAGAGACACAGGAUCUAUGUUAGUGAUCUCCCGGGGAGCACAGCACCGAGGGAACCACUACCGCGGAAAGCGAAAGCAAAGGACGGAGUCGUGGUUUCAGCCACAGUCUCGGUGUCACUGGAGCUGUGUCAAGCAGCGAGAUUGUGACCAUGGCCUGCUCCGCAGAGCCAGCCUGGUCUGAGGUACAGGGCAGGAGAUGCUGAGUGUGUGGCUAAGGGCAUCUCAGGCAACAAAGGACAAAACCUGAGCUCAUCAUCGAGGACACUCACACGCCUGCGCAAGAGCAAGUCAAAUCCACCUGCUUUGAGAGAAACAGCUGUGGCCCGGGAUGCGGCUUAGCGGGCUGCACUUUCCAAGCCUGCAUUUUCAAAGUGUGGGAAAACAACGCAAACAGAGGGAGGCGUGAAAGGCUUUUUUUCAAGUGUAAUUAACUUAUGCGAUGAUUACACAGUUUGGGUCCUGAGUCUGACCUGACAGGAUCGAUGAGGAGGUAAAGAGAUAGUGGAACCAAGUGUUAUCUUUCAGGGUCAGUGACAAAUUUCCACACAAGUUCUAUUUCUUCAGACAAGAAGGGGAAUGGCACAAGU
Long non-coding RNA from Heterocephalus glaber (naked mole-rat), 1563 nucleotides. RefSeq lists it as uncharacterized. NCBI's taxonomy places the organism in Eukaryota, Metazoa, Chordata, Mammalia, Rodentia, Bathyergidae. The record is from RefSeq and is a predicted model, not a curated record.